UACGUAGGGGGCAAGCGUUAUCCGGAUUUACUGGGUGUAAAGGGAGCGUAGACGGCAUAGUAAGUCUGAUGUGAAAGGCGGGGGCUCAACCCCUGGACUGCAUUGGAAACUAUUAAGCUGGAGUGUCGGAGAGGUAAGUGGAAUUCCUAGUGUAGCGGUGAAAUGCGUAGAUAUUAGGAGGAACACCAGUGGCGAAGGCGGCUUACUGGACGAUCACUGACGUUGAGGCUCGAAAGCGUGGGGAGCAAACAGGAUUAGAUACC
RNAcentral lists this ribosomal RNA (263 nucleotides) under uncultured bacterium. RNAcentral's name for it is "partial 16S ribosomal RNA". It matches the Rfam family "Bacterial small subunit ribosomal RNA", at positions 524 to 786 of the family's 1533-position model. The record is from RNAcentral.